CUGAAGCAGACGAUUUUCGACCCUAUUUCGACGAAGAGUUCCGGAUGAAGACAAACAAGUAUUACUUUUCAGAUUCUGAAGAAAGAUGUGACGACGACCCCAUUGAUUGUCCUUCUCUAGCAUCGGUGUUUCUAGGAGAUGAAAAUUAUGGCCUAACAGGACUAUAUGGUAAAUAAAUCGUGUUGUACGAGGAAAAGAGAGAGGUAAAACUUAUUGAAAUAUUGGAAACCAAAAUGCCAAGAUAUGAGGAAGAAGUAUGUUUCUAAGUAAAUACAAUAUUAGAUGUAGUAUAUAUACUAACAAAUCAUUACACUACAAAAAAAAUGACAUUCUAUGACACUUCAUUAGUACUCAAAUUGAGAGGAAAGAAGAAACAAAUGUUAUAAAAGGUUAAAAAGCGCUAUUUUGGUGGAAAAAAGAAUACUGUUUUCGGAAUUUAUUUUUCCGUGACAAUUAUUUUUUGUCAUAAAAGGGUUUAGGAAUAUAAAAUAGUUUUUUAAAAUAGAAAAUCUCACAAUUUCCCAAAUUCUCAAGCCCAUAAUUUCUAAAUCUGACGCUUAAUUUCUCAAAGUCUUCCACGCCACUCCAAAUUUGCUAUCGUCUGCCGUCGUCUUCAACAUCCGCCAAAGCUUCGACGUUUGAUCGAGUCUUCGACGUCCGACCGAGUCUUUGAUGUCCGACCGAGUCAUCAACGUCCGCCCAGUCUUCGACGUGCACAGUCCGCCCACUAUUCGACGCGUACAGUCCCACCAUCACCACCAGUCCCUUCGACGCCGCCGCUUCAUAUAGUUCUAAAUUAAGAAGACUACUAGUGCGUACCUUUUGUAGCCACACACGGCUUAUAAAUGCUACAAUUAUUAGUCAAUUAGUGAGUAGGUGUUUUCUUAUUUGAUAGAGAUCUCUUUGUGGGAGUUUAAUGGCAAGAUAUCUUCUCCAAAAGAAGCUUGUAAUGCCUUAUGCCUUUUCCCAUAAAGUUCAAGAUGGAUUUCUUGGGUUUGAGCUCCAAGAAGCCAUUGGCUGUGGUGAAACAGGAGAUUGACUACGAUGAAGCGCAAGAUUCUGGGUAAGGCAGGCUCGUACAACUGAGUUUUCAAACAUUCUUAUGUUCAAACUCACAUUAGAGUUGAUGCCUCUUAGACUCGCAAUCAAGGAUAUGGAAGGACCAAGGGGAGAGGGACUCCGAGAGUACCAACUCCUCCUUCUCCACCUAGGAAAGAUAAAUUUGGUGAUGAUGAGAAAAUCAAGAUCGAGAUUGACGAGUCUUUUUUUGCUAGCUAGUCAUGGAUCAUCCUAAUUUGUUUAUUUGAAUGUGUUUUCUUAAUUUAGAAGGUACUUCCACUUCUUCUAAUAGCAUUAUUUUUGUAUGAAUUAUAUACAAAUUUUUUUUAAGAUCAAUGAAGGAUACAGAACAUUUGAGGUACAUAAUGAUGAAAACGCAGAAUCUGAUGAGGUAUA
Molecule: RNA transcript, 1455 nt
Organism: Cucumis melo (muskmelon)
Lineage: Eukaryota; Viridiplantae; Streptophyta; Magnoliopsida; Cucurbitales; Cucurbitaceae
Exons: 8
Source: RefSeq, a predicted model, not a curated record